CAAUAGCGUAUAUUAAAGUUGUUGCAGUUAAAAAGCUCGUAGUUGGAUUUCGGGGCAGCCUGGCUGGUCCGCCGCAAGGCGAGUACUGGUCAGCCGCCCUUCCUCUCGAAAGCCCCGACUGCUCUUCGUUGCAGUGGUCGGGGAGUUCGGGACGUUUACUUUGAAAAAAUUAGAGUGUUCAAGGCAGGCCUACGCCUGAAUACAUUAGCAUGGAAUAAUGGAAGAGGACCUCGGUCCUAUUUUGUUGGUUUCCAGGGCCGAAGUAAUGAUUAAGAGGGACAGUUGGGGGCAUUCGUAUUUAAUUGUCAGAGGUGAAAUUCUCGGAUUUAUGAAAGACGAACAACUGCGAAAGCAUUUGCCAAGGAUGUUUUCAUUAA
RNAcentral lists this ribosomal RNA (377 nucleotides) under uncultured eukaryote. RNAcentral's name for it is "partial 18S ribosomal RNA". It matches the Rfam family "Eukaryotic small subunit ribosomal RNA", at positions 592 to 976 of the family's 1831-position model. The record is from RNAcentral.